This 460-nucleotide ribosomal RNA is filed under the name uncultured bacterium. RNAcentral's name for it is "partial 16S ribosomal RNA". It matches the Rfam family "Bacterial small subunit ribosomal RNA", at positions 338 to 795 of the family's 1533-position model. The record is from RNAcentral.
CCUACGGGAGGCAGCAGUGAGGAAUAUUGGUCAAUGGGCGUAAGCCUGAACCAGCCAAGUCGCGUGAGGGAUGAAGGCCCUAUGGAUUGUAAACUUCUUUUAUAAGGGAAUAAAGUGCGGGACGUGUCCCGUUUUGUAUGUACCUUAUGAAUAAGGAUCGGCUAACUCCGUGCCAGCAGCCGCGGUAAUACGGAGGAUCCGAGCGUUAUCCGGAUUUAUUGGGUUUAAAGGGGGCGUAGGCGGCCUUUUAAGUCAGCGGUGAAAGUUUGUGGCUCAACCAUAAAAUUGCCGUUGAUACUGGGAGGCUUGAGUAUGUUUGAGGCAGGCGGAAUUCGUGGUGUAGCGGUGAAAUGCUUAGAUAUCACGAAGAACCCCGAUUGCGAAGGCAGCCUGCCAAGCCAUGACUGACACUGAUGCACGAAAGCGUGGGGAUCAAACAGGAUUAGAUACCCGGGUAGUC